UAGGGAAUCUUCCACAAUGGACGCAAGUCUGAUGGAGCAACGGCCGCGUGAGUGAAGAAGGUUUUCGGACCGUAAAGCUCUGUUGUUGGUGAAGAAGGAUAGAGGUAGUAACUGGCCUUUAUUUGACGGUAAUCAACCAGAAAGUCACGGCUAACUACGUGCCAGCAGCCGCGGUAAUACGUAGGUGGCAAGCGUUGUCCGGAUUUAUUGGGCGUAAAGCGAGCGCAGGCGGAAGAAUAAGUCUGAUGUGAAAGCCCUCGGCUUAACCGAGGAAUUGCAUCGGAAACUGUUUUCUUGAGUGCAGAAGAGGAGAGUAGAACUCCAUGUGUAGCGGUGGAAUGCGUAGAUAUAUGGAAGAAUACCAGUGGCGAAGGCGGCUCUCUGGUCUGCAACUGACGCUGAGGCUCGAAAGCAUGGGUAGCGAACAGGAUUAGAUACCCUGGUAGUCCAUGCCGUAAACGA
This 462-nucleotide ribosomal RNA is filed under the name uncultured bacterium. Its description in RNAcentral is "partial 16S ribosomal RNA". It matches the Rfam family "Bacterial small subunit ribosomal RNA", at positions 355 to 809 of the family's 1533-position model. The record is from RNAcentral.